RNAcentral lists this ribosomal RNA (1092 nucleotides) under Triticum aestivum (bread wheat). RNAcentral describes it as "partial small subunit ribosomal RNA". Lineage: Eukaryota; Viridiplantae; Streptophyta; Magnoliopsida; Poales; Poaceae. The record is from RNAcentral.
AUGAAUGCACAGAAACAAUUGAUCAUUCUACUUGGUAUCAGACUCCAGGCAACCCUUUCAUGGCCGAGCACACGACCGCCUCCGCCACUUCUCCGGCCACCAACUCGGCCACCUCGCCGGGGACUCUCUCCAGCUCGUCCACCGGCGCCGGCACCACCGCCGGCACGUCUUCUCCCUUCAUCUUCGGCACCACCCCCUCUUCCCAUAGUGGCUCCUCCCCCUCGCUCGGUUCUCAGUUCGCCCCCCUAUUCCCCAACUCCACGGCGCCGCCGCUCCCUCCCCCACCCCAUUUUCCGUGAUAGCAUCCAGAACCAGAUCAAGUUUCUUCUCAACCCCGACGAUCACAACUACCACAAGUGGAAGUCAUUCUUCCUCCUUGUUCUGAUCCGCUAUGGCGUCGCUCAGUUCAUCGAACAACCCCUUCCCCCUAACGCCACCACCUCCACCGCCGACGUAUGGCACCGCCGGCUUGGCCACCCCAGCCCCCAAGUUACCUCUUCCUUAGCGGCCCAUGAUUUUCUUCCAUCUUGUAAUAAGAUUGCGCAUACACCAUGUAAUGCUUGCCAACUUGGACGGCAGCCGCGCCUCCCCUUUCCUACUUCACAUAGUCGCACUUUUGCUCCAUUUGAACUAAUCCAUUGUGAUUUAUGGACCAGCCCCGUUGUAAGCUUUUCCGGUUAUCAAUAUUACUUGAUUGUGCUUGAUGAUUACACUCACUUUUUCUGGUCCUUUCCUCUUCGCAACAAGCCGGACACAUCUCUUACUCUCCAACGCUUUUUCUCUUACGUUCGUACUCAAUACAAUGUGAUCAUCAAAGCACUACAAUGCGAUAACGGUGGCGAGUUUAUCAACUCCACACUACGUGCGUUCUUCUCCGCUAAUGGCAUUGCCUACCGCUUCCCUUGCCCUCACACCUCACCCCAGAAUGGCAAGGCCGAACGUCUUCUUCGCACCACCAACGACAUCAUCCGCACCCUCCUCGUCCAAGCCAACCUCACACCUUCCUUUUGGGCUGAAGCCUUGCACACGGCCACAUACCUUCUCAACCGUCGCCCUUUCCGUGCCAUUCACGAUCACACACCUUACUUUUGA